This 497-nucleotide ribosomal RNA is filed under the name uncultured bacterium. RNAcentral's name for it is "partial 16S ribosomal RNA". It matches the Rfam family "Bacterial small subunit ribosomal RNA", at positions 28 to 507 of the family's 1533-position model. The record is from RNAcentral.
GAUGAACGCUGGCGGCGUGCCUAAUACAUGCAAGUCGAGCGAACGGACGAGAAGCUUGCUUUUCUGAUGUUAGCGGCGGACGGGUGAGUAACACGUGGAUAACCUACCUAUAAGACUGGGAUAACUUCGGGAAACCGGAGCUAAUACCGGAUAAUAUUUUGAACCGCAUGGUUCAUAAGUGAAAGACGGUCUUGCUGUCACUUAUAGAUGGAUCCGCGCUGCAUUAGCUAGUUGGUAAGGUAACGGCUUACCAAGGCAACGAUGCAUAGCCGACCUGAGAGGGUGAUCGGCCACACUGGAACUGAGACACGGUCCAGACUCCUACGGGAGGCAGCAGUAGGGAAUCUUCCGCAAUGGGCGAAAGCCUGACGGAGCAACGCCGCGUGAGUGAUGAAGGUCUUCGGAUCGUAAAACUCUGUUAUUAGGGAAGAACAUAUGUGUAAGUAACUGUGCACAUCUUGACGGUACCUAAUCAGAAAGCCACGGCUAACUACGCG